AAGUCGUAACAAGGUUUCCGUAGGUGAACCUGCGGAAGGAUCAUUACCGUGGAGAUUCGUCUCUAUUGGGAUAGCACCCUUUGUUCACGAGUACUCUCUGUUUCCUCGGCGGGCUCGCCCGUCAGAGGACCGUCGCAAACCCUCAUGUAGUAGGCAGUACCUUCAGCAAAACAGACAAACAAUCAAAACUUUCAACAACGGAUCUCUUGGUUCUG
RNAcentral lists this unclassified non-coding RNA (215 nucleotides) under fungal sp. RNAcentral's name for it is "partial internal transcribed spacer region". The stretch from base 1 to 46 matches the Rfam family "Eukaryotic small subunit ribosomal RNA", at positions 1786 to 1831 of the family's 1831-position model. Lineage: Eukaryota; Fungi. The record is from RNAcentral.